This 228-nucleotide long non-coding RNA is filed under the name Lathyrus oleraceus (garden pea). RNAcentral describes it as "Pisum sativum (pea) long non-coding RNA (PSAT_LNC025622)". The record is from RNAcentral. Lineage: Eukaryota; Viridiplantae; Streptophyta; Magnoliopsida; Fabales; Fabaceae.
UUAUUAUUGGUUAAUUAUUUAUCUAUUUAUUGAACAUUACUUUAUUAUUUAAAAGAAAAUUGAUUAAUUGAGAAAAAAAGUUUUUUGAUUAUUGUACUCGCUAGAGUCUUACAACUAUAUGCCUACGUACCCAAAAAUUUAUUGAAGGAUCAGAGUCUCGUAGUUCGUCUUAAAAGUGUAUGUUGGUUGGUUGUUUUUAUCCCUUAAAAGUUCUCACGCAUCAGGGAU